ACCUAGAGGGGGAAGAAGACGACGGAGUACAAAUCACACCUUGACCACCGCUUGAGAAACUCCGGAGGAAGCUCAAAUGUACAGAAUGACAUUGAAAUGCACACGUCCAACUUUUUUUUCUCAAACGGCGUUUCAUCCCGGAAUGGACAGAAUUAUUCGACUUUGCUCGACAGGUGCUCGAGAGCGGCGCUCCCCCAACCUUUUUGUGGAUCACAGUGGAGACGACUACAAGCCGUUUGCGGACCGGUGACGAUAUUUUCCCACGUCGCGUUUAAACGGCCAUUUUUCAAGUACAAGUACAACUUUAUUGACAGAUGUGCUAACAUACAACACAGAUGAAAUUUCCUCCCUCUUAGUCGACGAGAGGAGCCGCCGCGGGUGCCCGCGCCGCCAUCAAGCCCCCGUUCCUGCCAAUAAAGAUGAUUCUGGAGUCGUUGGAUGGUGUUAUUAACAGAUCCUGCGUUGGGCGUUAGCAUCAUCGCCGAUCAGAAGAUGACGCGACCGGAUGCCGCUUUUCCUCCGGUGGCUGCCGGUUAGCUUUUAGCGACGAAACGGCUCACGUCUGCGCGGGCGGGCUGUGGAAACUCUGCUGGCAUUUUUUCCACUUGAACACCGUGGGGGGUGCUCCUUGUUCAAAUGAUUCAACGGGUUUCGCGUAUCGCCUUGUUUUUGACGACAUUGGCGUCCUUUUCCAUGCCGCUUUGGGCUAACUUCUCUCGUCCAAAUCGAAAGUCACGGCUGCCCCAUUAAGCUGUGCAUUUAGCGAGCUGGAUGUUUGGCCAAGUAGUUCCUCUUACUUUCUGUGUACUGCUUCUUUCAUUUAUAUACCGAUUCUCUUGAUUUAAAAUUUCAUUUGUACACAUUUCCGCCACAUCUGUUGGUUGGGGGACCCCUGCUAUAGAAGACUAGCAUUUGUCGGAAUCAGGGUCAAAUUCAGCCGCCAGGAGUUUCAUUUCCUGUGCGGACCCCCGACAGGUGAAAACAUGCUAUUAAGAAGUAACAGAUGAGGGUGACGAGCAGAGCGGCGGCCACCGUUCCCGUGGAAACGCCAAACUUGAGCCAAAAAUCCAGACUCACGCAAGCGCCGACAGUCUGGGCUGGGAGAGCCUCUCCUCCGGCACACCGCAACGGCUGCUGCCAGACCGGACACGCGUGCCGACUCUGCCAGAGGAAGUGGAAAGAGCAGCCAUCGCACGUGCCCUCCGAACAGUUACUGGCGAGGAGAAACCAAAUGGGGAGAUUUGUUGGGAGGUUGAUGGGAUUUGCUCAAACUAGGGCAGAGCUACAUAGCC
This is a long non-coding RNA of Hippocampus zosterae (dwarf seahorse), 1292 nucleotides long. RefSeq lists it as uncharacterized. The transcript has 3 exons. The record is from RefSeq and is a predicted model, not a curated record. Lineage: Eukaryota; Metazoa; Chordata; Actinopteri; Syngnathiformes; Syngnathidae.